RNAcentral lists this ribosomal RNA (266 nucleotides) under uncultured bacterium. Its description in RNAcentral is "partial 16S ribosomal RNA". It matches the Rfam family "Bacterial small subunit ribosomal RNA", at positions 793 to 1055 of the family's 1533-position model. The record is from RNAcentral.
GUCCACGCCUUAAACUAUGAACACUAGGUGUCGGGAGGUCUUACCCUUUCGGUGCCGCCGCUAACGCAUUGAGUGUUCCGCCUGGGGAGUACGGCCGCAAGGUUAAAACUCAAAGAAAUUGACGGGGGCCCGCACAAGCGGUGGAGUAUGUGGUUCAAUUCGAUGCAACGCGAAAAACCUUACCUAGGCUUGACAUCCAGAGAACCCUUUGGAAACAGAGGGGUGCUCGCAAGAGAAUUCUGAGACAGGUGCUGCAUGGCUGUCGU